Halichondria panicea is the source of this 1172-nucleotide long non-coding RNA. RefSeq lists it as uncharacterized. NCBI's taxonomy places the organism in Eukaryota, Metazoa, Porifera, Demospongiae, Suberitida, Halichondriidae. The transcript has 5 exons. The record is from RefSeq and is a predicted model, not a curated record.
ACUUGGAAGUGUAUAAAACAAGCUAUAAUUAUGAAUAAAUUAUCAUAAAGGAAGUAAACAAUUAAUCACAUUGAAACCUUCUCACUGUCAAGAAAUAAUUCGAGAUGACACUAAUAGAGAUAAUAAAACUCAUUAGAGUUCUCCUGAUUUGCUUCCUGGCUGGCUUCAGCACUGCACAAUAUUCAGUGAGUGUGGAGAGACCAUGUCCAAUGAAAACAGUCACUUUCACCUGCACUGCUCCUGGAGAUUCCAUGAGAUGGGUACCAUCAGAUGCAACUCCUAUCACUAUCAUCUCUACUCCCUCUGGUCUCAAUGUACCCAAUGUUGUAUCAGGUUACACCGUAACACUGAUUGCAUUCAAUGACACUACAUUAACAUCUACUCUGUCAAGAACAGCAGAGAAUGGGAUCACUGUGUUCUGUGUGGACCCACUGCCUAUUUUAACCAAUAUAGCAUCUUCAACGAUCCGGUUGGUUGAUCCACCAGGACCACCUUCCACCAUCAGACACUCUAUUCUGAGCAGCUCAUGAUCAUCCAAUGAAGCUAGUGUAUCUGUACAGUGGGACCCUCUACUGAAACUGGUGGUAGAGAUGACCUCACCUACACAGUGACCAUCUCACUUCUGGCUCAGCUCUCUACUACUGUCCUCACAUCCACCUCUGUCACUGUGACUGCUCAAUACAAUGUGUACUACACUAUCAGUGUUGUGGCUACCAACUGUGCUGGGAACAGUACAACAGCUGAGUACAACUUUAGGAUCGUGCAGGCAACUGUCCUGUGUUGACCAACCCCAUGAAUGGAGCCUUUGGACCAGUCUCCAGCAGAUUAUCAGGAUCAACAGUAACCAUCCAGUGUGACGCUGGGUAUAAUUAUGUCUGCUGUUACGAUGGUGACAUGUGAGGGUACACUGAUGUGGAGUCCAGACCCUGAGGCUAUUGAUUGUACAUCACUAAUUAUAACCAUACCUACUCUUACAACUCCUGCUCCUCCAAUGAACUGCAAGGCUCCAUUAUCCCCACCAAGGAAUGGCACCAUCAAUGAUCAUUCAGUACCAGCUUUUUCCGGUACACAAGUGAAAUUCCAGUGUGAUGUUGGACUGUUCCCUGAGGGCAUAAUGACUGCCACCUGUCUAGCUACAGGAGAGUGGGACAAAAACCCAAUGGAGACAGUCU